UGCAUCGGCCGGGAAUCGAACCCGGGCCGCCCGUGUGGCAGGCGAGAAUUCUACCACUGAACCACCGAUGC
RNAcentral lists this transfer RNA (71 nucleotides) under Cordylochernes scorpioides. RNAcentral describes it as "tRNA-Gly". The record is from RNAcentral. Lineage: Eukaryota; Metazoa; Arthropoda; Arachnida; Pseudoscorpiones; Chernetidae.